Molecule: ribosomal RNA, 253 nt
Filed under: uncultured bacterium
Lineage: Bacteria
Description: partial 16S ribosomal RNA
Rfam family: Bacterial small subunit ribosomal RNA
Source: RNAcentral
UACGUAGGGCGCAAGCGUUGUCCGGAAUUAUUGGGCGUAAAGAGCUCGUAGGCGGCUUGUCACGUCGAUUGUGAAAGCCCGAGGCUUAACCUCGGGUCUGCAGUCGAUACGGGCUAGCUAGAGUGUGGUAGGGGAGAUCGGAAUUCCUGGUGUAGCGGUGAAAUGCGUAGAUAUCAGAAGGAACAUCAGUGGCGAAAGCGACUUCCUGGACCAGAACUGACGAUCAGGCACGAAAGCGUGGGGAGCAAACAGG